RNAcentral lists this ribosomal RNA (84 nucleotides) under Phocaeicola vulgatus. Lineage: Bacteria; Pseudomonadati; Bacteroidota; Bacteroidia; Bacteroidales; Bacteroidaceae. The record is from RNAcentral. RNAcentral also lists the same sequence under 2 other names.
CCUCUUCCCAUUCCGAACAGAGAAGUUAAGCCUUGUCACGCCGAUGGUACUGCGUCACAGUGGGAGAGUAGGUAGCCGCCGUUU